Molecule: ribosomal RNA, 208 nt
Filed under: uncultured bacterium
Lineage: Bacteria
Description: partial 16S ribosomal RNA
Rfam family: Bacterial small subunit ribosomal RNA
Source: RNAcentral
UGCGUAGGCGGCGCGGUAAGUCGGGUGUGAAAUCUCGGAGCUUAACUCCGAAACUGCAUUCGAUACUGCCGUGCUUGAGGACUGGAGAGGAGACUGGAAUUUACGGUGUAGCGGUGAAGUGCGUAGAUAUCGUAAGGAAGACCAGUGGCGAAGGCGGGUCUCUGGACAGUUCCUGACGCUGAGGCACGAAGGGUCAGGGAGGCAAACG